Molecule: ribosomal RNA, 497 nt
Filed under: uncultured bacterium
Lineage: Bacteria
Description: partial 16S ribosomal RNA
Rfam family: Bacterial small subunit ribosomal RNA
Source: RNAcentral
GAUGAACGCUGGCGGCGUGCCUAAUACAUGCAAGUCGAGCGAACGGACGAGAAGCUUGCUUCUCUGAUGUUAGCGGCGGACGGGUGAGUAACACGUGGAUAACCUACCUAUAAGACUGGGAUAACUUCGGGAAACCGGAGCUAAUACCGGAUAAUAUUUUGAACCGCAUGGUUCAAAGGUGAAAGACGGUCUUGCUGUCACUUAUAGAUGGAUCCGCGCUGCAUUAGCUAGUUGGUAAGGUAACGGCUUACCAAGGCAACGAUGCAUAGCCGACCUGAGAGGGUGAUCGGCCACACUGGAACUGAGACACGGUCCAGACUCCUACGGGAGGCAGCAGUAGGGAAUCUUCCGCAAUGGGCGAAAGCCUGACGGAGCAACGCCGCGUGAGUGAUGAAGGUCUUCGGAUCGUAAAACUCUGUUAUUAGGGAAGAACAUAUGUGUAAGUAACUGUGCACAUCUUGACGGUACCUAAUCAGAAAGCCACGGCUAACUACGUG